CUUCGGAUUGACUCUUUUAUUAUCUUAGCGGCGGACGGGUGAGUAACGCGUGAGAAACCUGCCUUUCACAAAGGGAUAGCCUCGGGAAACUGGGAUUAAUACCUUAUGAUACUUUUAGAUAGCAUUAUUUAAAAGUCAAAGCGUAAAGCGGUGAAAGAUGGUCUCGCGUCCCAUUAGCUAGUUGGUGAGAUAAAAGCUCACCAAGGCAACGAUGGGUAACCGGCCUGAGAGGGUGAACGGUCACACUGGAACUGAGACACGGUCCAGACUCCUACGGGAGGCAGCAGUGGGGAAUAUUGCACAAUGGAGGAAACUCUGAUGCAGCGACGCCGCGUGAACGAUGAAGGCUUUCGAGUCGUAAAGUUCUGUCCUAGGGGACGAUAAUGACGGUACCCUAGGAGGAAGCCCCGGCUAAUUACGUGCCAGCAGCCGCGGUAAUACGUAAGGGGCGAGCGUUGUCCGGAAUUAUUGGGCGUAAAGGGUUCGCAGGCGGCCUUUUAAGUCAGAUGUGAAAUCUCACGGCUUAACCGUGGUAAGCAUUUGAAACUGAAAGGCUUGAGUUAAGGAGAGGAAAGUGGAAUUCCUAGUGUAGCGGUGAAAUGCGUAGAUAUUAGGAAGAAUACCAGUGGCGAAGGCGACUUUCUGGACUUAUACUGACGCUGAGGAACGAAAGCAUGGGGAGCAAACAGGAUUAGAUACCCUGGUAGUCCAUGCCGUAAACGAUGAGUGCUAGGUGUUGGGGGUCAAACCUCGGUGCCGCAGCUAACGCAUUAAGCACUCCGCCUGGGGGAGUACGUACGCAAGUAUGAAACUCAAAGGAAUUGGACGGGGACCCGCACAAGCAGCGGAACAUGUGGGUUAAUUCGAAGCAACGCGAAGAACCUUACCAGGCUUGACA
Molecule: ribosomal RNA, 898 nt
Filed under: Tissierella sp.
Lineage: Bacteria; Bacillati; Bacillota; Tissierellia; Tissierellales; Tissierellaceae
Description: bacterial SSU rRNA
Rfam family: Bacterial small subunit ribosomal RNA
Source: RNAcentral